GACGAACGCUGGCGGCGCGCUUAACACAUGCAAGUCGAACGGAAAGGCCUGCUUUCCCUUGUGGAUUGCGGGUACUCGAGUGGCGAACGGGUGGGUAACACGUGAGUGAUCUGCCCCCAACUUGGGUAUAAGCCUGGGAAACUGGGUCUAAUUCCCGAUAGGACUGCAGGGUGGUGCCUGUGGUGGAAAACGAUUUUCUAGUGGUUGGGGAUGAGCUCGCGGCCUAUCAGCUUGUUGGUGGGGUAAUGGCCUACCAAGGCGGCGACGGGUAGCCGGCCUGAGAGGGUGGACGGCCACAUUGGGACUGAGAUACGGCCCAGACUCCUACGGGAGGCAGCAGUGGGGAAUAUUGCACAAUGGGCGGAAGCCUGAUGCAGCGACGCCGCGUGGGGGAUGACGGCCUUCGGGUUGUAAACUCCUUUCGACCGCGAGGAAGCCACCUGGUUGGAAGGGUGGUGACGGUAGUGGUAGAAGAAGCACCGGCUAACUACGUG
Molecule: ribosomal RNA, 494 nt
Filed under: uncultured bacterium
Lineage: Bacteria
Description: partial 16S ribosomal RNA
Rfam family: Bacterial small subunit ribosomal RNA
Source: RNAcentral